Molecule: ribosomal RNA, 441 nt
Filed under: uncultured bacterium
Lineage: Bacteria
Description: partial 16S ribosomal RNA
Rfam family: Bacterial small subunit ribosomal RNA
Source: RNAcentral
CCUACGGGGCGCUGCAGUGGGGGAUAUUGCACAAUGGGGGAAACCCUGAUGCAGCGACGCCGCGUGGGUGAAGAAGUAUUUCGGUAUGUAAAGCCCUAUCAGCAGGGAAGAAAGAAGACGGUACCUGACUAAGAAGCCCCGGCUAACUACGUGCCAGCAGCCGCGGUAAUACGUAGGGGGCGAGCGUUAUCCGGAUUCACUGGGUGUAAAGGGAGCGUAGACGGCCGUGCAAGCCAGGAGUGAAAGCCCGGGGCCCAACCCCGGGACUGCUCUUGGAACUGUGCGGCUGGAGUGCGGGAGGGGCAGGCGGAAGUCCUGGUGUAGCGGUGAAAUGCGUAGAUAUCAGGAGGAACACCGGCGGCGAAGGCGGCCUGCUGGACCGCGACUGACGUUGAGGCUCGAAAGCGUGGGGAGCGAACAGGAUUAGAUACCCUUGUAGUC